AACGUAGGAGGCGAGCGUUAUCCGGAUUUACUGGGCGUAAAGCGCGUGUAGGCGGUUUCAUAAGUCGUGCGUGAAAGCUCCCUGGCUCAACCGGGAGAGGUCGUGCGAUACUGCGAAACUUGAGUCAGACAGAGGCAAGUAGAAUUCCGGGUGUAGUGGUGAAAUGCGUAGAUAUCCGGAGGAAUACCAGUGGCGAAGGCGACUUGCUGGGUCUGUACUGACGCUCAGACGCGAAAGCAUGGGGAGCGAACGGG
RNAcentral lists this ribosomal RNA (254 nucleotides) under uncultured bacterium. Its description in RNAcentral is "partial 16S ribosomal RNA". It matches the Rfam family "Bacterial small subunit ribosomal RNA", at positions 524 to 776 of the family's 1533-position model. The record is from RNAcentral.